Long non-coding RNA from Orcinus orca (killer whale), 5936 nucleotides. RefSeq lists it as uncharacterized. The record is from RefSeq and is a predicted model, not a curated record. The transcript is spliced from 3 exons. Lineage: Eukaryota; Metazoa; Chordata; Mammalia; Artiodactyla; Delphinidae.
AAAAAGGUCAGGAAACAGAUUAUCUGUCUAGGAUACAUAAAGUAAUAUCAGCUAGUCAAGUACAUGUAAGCUGGUACACUGACCUGUCUUAACCAUGAUUUGUUCAUUCGUGAAUCCCUAAAGCCUACCAUCAAGGGCUGCCCUUAGUGGACAUCAGUAAAUGAUAGUUCACUGGAUUAAUAGUCUUUCUCAGUUUAGCAAAGAUGUGAAUAAAUUCUGAAACUAAAAGCAUACUGGAAUUUAUUACUGAGUUCUGAAGCACAUUUUUAGGUAUGACAUUUUGCACUCUGCCUAUAGAUAUGAACUAUGAAUAUGUAAGUCUGCUGAUCUUGCCGGUAGAACAAGUCACGCUAAGCUGGUCAGCCACAGUAGCCUUAAUUUGCCUUGGUGGACUCCAGGGAGACCCUACUUAUAUUUCACCCAUCAGUUAGAUUUCAACCCACCCUCUUGCUUCCCUAUUGAAACAAUAGACGAGGCCCUUUUUGUUUGUGUUUUUGUUUUUUGGCUGCACUGGGUCUUCUUUGCACCUCACGGGCUCCUGUCUAGUUGCAGCACAUGGGUUGCCCCACAGCAUGUGGGAUCUUAGUUCCCUAGCCAGGGAUCAAACCCGCAUUCCCUGCAUUGGAAGGCGGAUUCUUAACCACUGGACCACCAGGGACGUCCCAAAAAGAUGCUCAGGCACUUUUCUUGUGCUUUUAGUUUGGGACAAAUGGAUUUCUUUCUUGAUUUUCUGAGUUCAUUAGCAUGGAAAGAUAGGAACCAGGCUGAUGUUAUAAAUAGUGAACCAUCAAGGCAUGUUUCUUGUAAGCAGUAUUUAGUUUAUCUUCUUACUGUCCUUGUUAUUAAGAGUUGACAGAGGUGGAAACUAGAAAAAGGUACACAAAUCCUAUCACUGGACCCAUUUUCUCUACUUUUAUUCAACAAAUAUUUAUUGAGUGCCUCUAAUGUAAGGACACAUUACAAAAUGGACCAAGCCCUUACUUCUUGGAGUUUUUGUUUGUUUUUUGUUUUAUUUCAUUGUAGAAAAAUACACAUAACAUAAAAUUCACAAUGUUAGCCAUUUUUAAGUGUACAGCCCAGUGGCAUUAAGUACAUUCACAUUGUUGUGCAAUGUCAUGGAGUUUUUUAUUAAUUAAUUUUUUUAGUGAAAUAUAGUUGAUUUACAAUGUUCUGUGAAUUUCUGCUGUACAGCAGAGUGAUUCAGUUAUACAUAUAUAUACAUUCUUUUUUAUAUUCUUUUCCAUUAUGGUUUAUUCCAGAAUAUUGAAUAUAGUUCCCUGUACUAUAUAGUAGGGCCUUGUUGCUUAUCCAUUCUGUAUGUAAUAGUUUGCAUCUGCUAUGAACAUAGGGAUGCAUGUGUCUUUUUGAAUUAUACUUUUGUCCAGAUAUAUGCCCAGGAGUGGGAUUGCUGGAUCACAUGGUAAUUCUAUUUUUAGUUUUCUGAGGAACCUCCAUACAGUUUUCCAUAGUGGCUGCACCAACUUACAUUCCUACCAACAGUGUAGGAGGGUUCCCUUUUCUCCACACCCUCUCCAGAAUUUGUUAUUUGUAGACUGUUUAAUGAUGGCCAUUCUGACUGGUGUGAGGUGGUACAUCAUUGUAGUUUUGAUUUGCAUUUUUCUAAUAAUUAGAGAUGUUGAGCAUCUUUUCAUGUGCUAUUGUCCAUCUGUAUGUCUUCUUUGGAGAAAUGCCUCUUUAGGUCUUCAACUGGGUUGUCUGCUUUUUUGUUGUUGGGUUUUAUGAGCUGUUUGUAUAUUUUGGAAAUUAAGCCGUUGUCGGUCGCAUCUUUUGCAAAUAUUUUCUCCCGUUCUCUAUAUUGUUUUUUUCAUUUUUUUAUGGUUUCCUUUGCAGUGAAAAAGCUUGUAAAUUUGAUUUGGUCCCAUUUUUUUAUUUUUGUUUUUAUUUCUAUUGCCUUGGGAGACUAACCUAAGAAAACAUUGGUAUGAUUUAUGUCAGAAAUGUUUUGCCUAUGAUCUCUUCUAGGAGUUUUAUGGUGUCAUGUCUUAUAUAUAUCUAAGUCUUUAAGCCAUUUUGAGUUUACUUUUGUGCAUGGCGUGAGGGUGUGUUUUAACUUCAUUGAUUUACAUGCAGCUGUCCAACUUUCCCAGCAACACUUGCUGAAAAGACUUUCUCCCAUUUUAUAUUCUUGCCUCCUUUGUUGAAGAUUAAUUGACUGUAAGGGUGUGGAUUUAUUUCUGGGCUCUCUAUUUUGUUCCGUUGAUCCCUAUGUCUGUUUUUGUGCCAAUACCAUGCUGUUUUGAUUACUGUACCCUUGUAGUAUUGUCUGGGAGGGUUGUGCCUCCUGCUUUGUUCUUUUUUCUCAGGAUUGCUUUGGCAAUUCUGGGUCUUUUAUGUUCUGUAUAAAUUUUAAGAUUAUUUAUUCUAGUUCUGUGAAAAAUGUCAUGGGUAAUUUGAUAGGGAUCGCAUUAAAUCUGUAGAUUGCUUUGGGUAGUAGAGCAUGGGAUAUCUUUCCAUUUCUUUGAAUCAUCUUUAAUUUCCUUUAUUAAUGUUUUAUAGUUCUCAGCAUAUAGGUCUUUCAGCUCCUUGGUCAGGUUUAUUCCUAAGUUUUGGGGGUUUUUUUUGGUGUGAUUUUAAAAAGUAAUUUUUUUACAUUCCCUUUCUGCUAUUUCAUUGUUAGUGUAAAGAAAUGCAAGUGAUUUCUGUAUGUUAAUCUUGUAUCCUGCUACCUUGCUGAAUUUAUUUAUCAGUUCCAAUAGUUUUUGUGUGGCGUCAUCAGGGUUUUCUAUAUAUAGUAUCAUGUCAUCUGUAUAUAGUGACAAUUUUACCUCUUCCCUUCCAAUUUGGAUACCUUUUAUUUCUUUUUCUUGUCUGAUUGCUGUGGCUAGAACUUUUAGUACUAUUUUGAAUAGAAGUGGUGAGAGUGGGCAUCCUUGUCUUUUUCAAGAAUUUAGCAGGGCUUUCAGCUUUUCACCAUUAAGUAUUAUAUUGGCUGUGGGUUUGUCAAAAGUGGCUUUUAUUAUAUUGAGAUAUGUUCCCUCUAUACCCAUUUUGGUAGAGUUUUUAUCAUGAAUGAAUGUUGAAUUUUGUCAAAUGCUUUUUCUGUGUCUAUUGAGAUUAUCAUGUGGUUUUUAUAUUUUCUUUUGUUGAUGUGGUGUAUCACAUUGAUAGAUUUCCGUGUGUUGAACCUUCCUUGUGAACCUAGGAUGUAUCCCACUUGGUCACAGUAUAUGAUCUUUUUUAUGUGUUGUUGGAUUCAGUUUGCUAGUAUUUUGUUGAGAACUUUUGCAUCUACGUUCGUCAAAGAUAUUGGCCUGUACUUUUCUUUUUUAGUGGUAUCUUUGUCUGGUUUUAGUAUCAGCGUGAUGCUGGCUUCGUAGAAUGUCUUUGGGAGUGUUGCCUCAACAGUCUUUUGGAAGAGUUUGAGAAGGAUCAGUAAAAUUUCUUCUAUGUAUGUUUGGUAGAAUUUGCCUGUGAAGCCAUCUGGUCCUGGACUUUUGUUUGUAGGGAGUUCUUUUUUUUAUUACAGGUUCUAUUUCACUUCUAGUGGUUGCUCUGUUCAAAUAAUCUAUUCUUUUUGAUUCAUUUGUGGUGGGCUGUAUGCUUCUAGAAAGUUGUCUGUUUCUUCUAGUUUGUCAAAUUUGUUGUCAUAUAAUUGUUCAUAGUAUUCUCUUAUGUUUUUUUGCAUGUCUGUGGUAUCAGUUGAUAUUUAUCCUUUUUCAUUUCUUAUUUUAUUUGGGUUCUGUCUUUUCUUCUAGGUCCUGGUUUUAUUGAUUUUUUUCUAUUUUUUUAAUCUCAAUUUUAUUUAUUUCCUCUCUGAGCUUUAUUAUUUCCUUCCUUCUGCUGACUUUAGGUUUUGUUUGUUCUUCUUUUUUUUGAUUCUUUUAGGUGAUAGGUUAGGUUAUUUUUUGAGAUAUUUUUCUUGUUUCUUGAGGAAGGCCUGUAUCGCUAUGAACUUCCCUCUUAAGAACUGCUUUUGCUGCAUCCCAUAGAUUCUGUGUGGUUGUGUUUUCAUUGUCACUUCCCUUAAAGUAUUUUUUAAUUUCCUUUUUGAUUUCCACAUUGACCCAUUGGUUUCUUAGUAGCAUUUUGUUUAGUUUCCAUGUAAUCGUUUUUUUUUUCAUAUAUCUUUUCUUAUGCUUGAAAUAAUUUCUAUACUGUUAAUUUGUUGACGUUUGUUUUGUCCUCUAGUAUGUGGUCAAUCCUAGAGAAUGUUCCAUGUGAACUUGAAAACAAUGUGUAUUCUGGGUUUUUUGGAUGUAAUGUCCUGAAAAUAUCAAUUAAGUCUAACCGUUCUAUUGUAUCCUUUGGAUCUUUGUUGCCUUAUUGAUUUUGUCUAGAAGAUCUGUCCAUUGAUGUGAGUAGGGUGUUAAAAUCUCCUACUAUUAUUGUAUUUCCAUCUGUUUCUCCCUUUAUGUCUGUUAGUAUUUGUUUCAUGUAUUUGGGUGCUCCUAUUUUAGGUACAUAUAUGUUGACGAGUGUAAAAAUCCUCUUCUUGUAUUUGUCAUGGAUUUUUAUUGUUGUGGGUUUCCUAAUGCUCCAUGUAGUUCAUAUUCUCAGUUGCUUCUGGGCUUGCUUUUUAUUAUUUCUGCUGUACAUAGUCAGAAUAUACUUUUAUUCUAGUUACAGUAAUUCUACAGAAAAAUUUUCAAUUGGAAAAAAAUGACUAGAUAGAUUACCCUAAAUGUACUUGUGAUUAUUAUUGGGCAGUUGUGGGAAUGGUUUUUUGUUUUUAAAUACUUUACUCAGUUGUUCGGUGUCUUUUCCUAUUGGACUUUUUUUCUCAUUUUUAAAAAUUCAAUUUAUUUAAACAGACUAAAAAUAAAGCACAGUUCACCCUUUACUCUCAUGCCCCCAUCCUCAGUCUCUGGCAGCCACUGAUUUGUUCUCUGUAUCUAUGGGCUUGUUUUGUUUAUUUUUUGAAUUCCACAUAUAAGCGAUAUUAUACAGUAUUUGUCUUUCUCUGUCUGCCUUAUUUCACUUAACAUAAUACUCUCACAGUCCAUCCAUAUUUGUCACAAAUGGCAAGAUUUUCCUUCUUUUAUAUGGCUGAAUAAUAAUCCAUUGUGUGUAUAUACCACAAUUUCUUUAUCCAUUCACCUAUCGAUAGACACUUAGAUUGUUUCAUAUCUUGGCUAUUGUAAGUAAUGUGAAAUGAACAUGGGGGUUUGCAUAUCUAUUUGAGUUAUUGUUUCUGUUUACGUCAGAUAAAUACCGAGAAGUGGUAACUGAAUCAUACGAUAGUUCUAUUUUUAAUUUUUUGAGGAAUCUUCAUACUGUUUUCCAUAGUGGUUGCAUCAAUUUAUGUUGCCACCAACAGUGCAUAAGGGUUCCCUUUUGUCCAUAUCCUUCACAACAGUAGUUAUUUCUCAUCUUUUUGAUAAUAGCCGUUCUAACAGGUAUGAUGCAAUAUCUCAUUAUGGUUUUGACUUGCAUUUCCCUGAUGAUUAAUGAAGUAGAGUAUCUUUCCAUGUACCUGUAGGCCAUCUUUAUAUCUUACUUGAGAAAAUGUUUAUUUAGAUCUUCUGCCAAUUUUUAAUUUGAUUGUUUUUUGAUGUUGAGUUGUAUGAGCUCUUUAUAUAUUUUGGACAUUAACCCCUUAUUGGAUAUAUCAUUUGCAAAUAUUUCCUCCUGUUCAAUAGGUUGCCUUUUCAUUUUGCUGAUGGUUUCCUUUGCUAUGCAGAAGCUUUUUAGUUUGAUGCAGUCCCAUUUCUUUAUUUUUGCUUUUGUUGCUUUUUGUGUCAGAUUCAAAAAAAGUCAUUACCUGGCUUCCCUGGUGGUGCAGUGGUUGAGAGUCCGCCUGCCGAUGGAGGGGACACGGGUUCGUGCCCCGGUCUGGGAGGAUCCCACAUGCCGUGGAGCGGCUAGGCCCGUGAGCCAUGGCUGCUGAGCCUGCACGUCUGGAGCCUGUGCUCCACAAUGGGAGAGGCCACAACAGUGAGAGGCCCGCGUACUGCAAAAAAAAAAAAAAAAAAAGU